This 639-nucleotide ribosomal RNA is filed under the name Cortinarius californicus. Its description in RNAcentral is "eukaryotic LSU rRNA". It matches the Rfam family "Eukaryotic large subunit ribosomal RNA", at positions 1 to 623 of the family's 3401-position model. Lineage: Eukaryota; Fungi; Basidiomycota; Agaricomycetes; Agaricales; Cortinariaceae. The record is from RNAcentral.
UGACCUCAAAUCAGGUAGGACUACCCGCUGAACUUAAGCAUAUCAAUAAGCGGAGGAAAAGAAACUAACAAGGAUUCCCCUAGUAACUGCGAGUGAAGCGGGAAAAGCUCAAAUUUAAAAUCUGGCAGUCUUUGGCUGUCCGAGUUGUAAUCUAGAGAAGUGUUAUCCGCGCUGGACCGUGUACAAGUCUCCUGGAAUGGAGCGUCAUAGAGGGUGAGAAUCCCGUCUUUGACACGGACUACCAGGGCUUUGUGAUGCGCUCUCAAAGAGUCGAGUUGUUUGGGAAUGCAGCUCAAAAUGGGUGGUAAAUUCCAUCUAAAGCUAAAUAUUGGCGAGAGACCGAUAGCGAACAAGUACCGUGAGGGAAAGAUGAAAAGAACUUUGGAAAGAGAGUUAAACAGUACGUGAAAUUGCUGAAAGGGAAACGCUUGAAGUCAGUCGCGUCGUCCAGGGAUCAACCUUGCUUUUGCUUGGUGCACUUUCUGGUUGACGGGUCAGCAUCAAUUUUGACCAUUGGAAAAAGAUCAAGGGAAUGUGACAUCUUUGGAUGUGUUAUAGCCCUUGGUUGCAUACGAUGGUUGGGAUUGAGGAACUCAGCACGCCGCAAGGCCGGGUUUUUAACCACGUACGUGCUUAGGA